This 385-nucleotide ribosomal RNA is filed under the name uncultured bacterium. RNAcentral's name for it is "bacterial SSU rRNA". It matches the Rfam family "Bacterial small subunit ribosomal RNA", at positions 28 to 412 of the family's 1533-position model. The record is from RNAcentral.
GACGAACGCUGGCGGCGUGCUUAACACAUGCAAGUCGAGCGGUAAGGCCCGUUUCGGGGGUACACGAGCGGCGAACGGGUGAGUAACACGUGGGUGACCUGCCCUCAGCUCUGGGAUAAGCCUGGGAAACCGGGUCUAAUACUGGAUAUGACUCCAUGACGCAUGUUGUGGGGUGGAAAGCCUUGUGCGGCUGAGGAUGGGCCCGCGGCCUAUCAGCUUGUUGGUGGGGUGAUGGCCUACCAAGGCGACGACGGGUAGCCGGCCUGAGAGGGCGACCGGCCACACUGGGACUGAGACACGGCCCAGACUCCUACGGGAGGCAGCAGGUGGGGAAUCUUGCGCAAGUGGGCGAAAGCCUGACGCAGCGACGCCGCGUGAGGAUGAC